GAGUUUGAUCGUGGCUCAGGACGAACGCUGGCGGCGUGCCUAAUACAUGCAAGUCGAACGAGUCCUCCCAAUUUGAUUUUAUGCUUGCAUAAAUGAUUUUUGGAUUCGGGACGAGUGGCGAACUGGUGAGUAACACGUGGGUAACCUGCCCUAAAGCAGGGGAUAACAUUUGGAAACAGAUGCUAAUACCGUAUAAUUAGUUGGAACCACAUGGUUCCAACUUGAAAGAUGGCUCUGCUAUCACUUUAGGAUGGACCCGCGGCGUAUUAGCUAGUUGGUGGGGUAAGAGCCUACCAAGGCAACGAUCAGUAGCCGACCUGAGAGGGUGAUCGGCCACAUUGGGACUGAGACACGGCCCAAACUCCUACGGGAGGCAGCAGUGGGGAAUAUUGCACAAUGGAGGGAACUCUGAUGCAGCAACGCCGCGUGAAGGAAGAAGGUUUUCGGAUCGUAAACUUCUAUCGACAGGGAAGAAAAAAUGACGGUACCUGAAUAAGAAGCCC
This 503-nucleotide ribosomal RNA is filed under the name uncultured Lactobacillus sp. RNAcentral's name for it is "bacterial SSU rRNA". It matches the Rfam family "Bacterial small subunit ribosomal RNA", at positions 9 to 493 of the family's 1533-position model. The record is from RNAcentral. Lineage: Bacteria; Bacillati; Bacillota; Bacilli; Lactobacillales; Lactobacillaceae.